RNAcentral lists this ribosomal RNA (442 nucleotides) under uncultured bacterium. Its description in RNAcentral is "partial 16S ribosomal RNA". It matches the Rfam family "Bacterial small subunit ribosomal RNA", at positions 338 to 795 of the family's 1533-position model. The record is from RNAcentral.
CCUACGGGAGGCAGCAGUGGGGAAUAUUGGGCAAUGGACGCAAGUCUGACCCAGCAACGCAGCGUGAAGGAAGAAGGCUUUCGGGUUGUAAACUUCUUUUAAGGGGGAAGAGCAGAAGACGGUACCCCUUGAAUAAGCCACGGCUAACUACGUGCCAGCAGCCGCGGUAAUACGUAGGUGGCAAGCGUUGUCCGGAUUUACUGGGUGUAAAGGGCGUGCAGCCGGAGAGACAAGUCAGAUGUGAAAUCCACGGGCUCAACCCGUGAACUGCAUUUGAAACUGUUUCCCUUGAGUGUCGGAGAGGUAAGCGGAAUUCCUUGUGUAGCGGUGAAAUGCGUAGAUAUAAGGAAGAACACCAGUGGCGAAGGCAGAUUACUGGACGAUAACUGACGGUGAGGCGCGAAGGCGUGGGGAGCAAACAGGAUUAGAUACCCUUGUAGUC